Molecule: non-coding RNA, 38 nt
Filed under: Alexandrium minutum
Lineage: Eukaryota; Dinophyceae; Gonyaulacales; Pyrocystaceae
Source: RNAcentral
UUUUUUUUUUUUUUUUUUUUUUUUUUUUUUUUUUUUCG